UACGUAGGGGGCAAGCGUUGUCCGGAUUUAUUGGGCGUAAAGAGCGUGUAGGCGGCCCGGGAGGUCCGUUGUGAAAACUCGAGGCUCAACCUCGAGACGCCGAUGGAAACCCCCUGGCUAGAGUCCGGAAGAGGAGAGUGGAAUUCCUGGUGUAGCGGUGAAAUGCGCAGAUAUCAGGAGGAACACCGGUGGCGAAGGCGGGUCUCUGGGCCCUACCUGACGCUGAGACGCGAAAGCGUGGGGAGCGAACCGG
RNAcentral lists this ribosomal RNA (253 nucleotides) under uncultured bacterium. Its description in RNAcentral is "partial 16S ribosomal RNA". It matches the Rfam family "Bacterial small subunit ribosomal RNA", at positions 524 to 776 of the family's 1533-position model. The record is from RNAcentral.